Molecule: ribosomal RNA, 503 nt
Filed under: uncultured eukaryote
Lineage: Eukaryota
Description: bacterial SSU rRNA
Rfam family: Eukaryotic small subunit ribosomal RNA
Source: RNAcentral
CAAUAGCGUAUAUUAAAGUUGUUGCGGUUAAAAAGCUCGUAGUUGGAUCUCGGCGGGCAGGGGGUGGUUCGCUCUUCAGCGCUACUGCCCCGCUUUGCCCGUGUGAUUGGCGGAGGUUUCGGGGUGCUCUUCGUUGAGUGACUCGGAGCGCCGUCAGGUUUACUUUGAAAAAAUUAGAGUGCUCAAAGCAGGCUUUUCACGCUUGAAUAUUCGUGCAUGGAAUAAUGGAAUAGGAACUCGUUUCUAUUUUGUUGGUUUUCGGAAAUCGAGUUAAUGAUUAACAGGGACAAUUGGGGGCAUUAGUAUUCAGACGACAGAGGUGAAAUUCUUGGACCGUCUGAAGACUGACUACUGCGAAAGCAUUUGCCAAGAGUGUUUUCAUUAAUCAAGAACGAAAGUUUAGAGGUUUCGAAAGACGUAGUUAAGUACUAACCGAAUUACCCUAGUACGUACGUAGGACCCUAAGGGCCCAAACGGACCAACGGGGGAACUAAGGGGGGAUA